GGCCCCCGUGUGCUCCUGCGCGGGUUCUGGGCGGGGGGAACCCCCAGAACUUUGGAGCCAGCGGCGGGCUUGGGCCCUGUCCUCGCCGCCCCGAGGCGCUCAGCUUCUUUCUGAGUGUUCCACCAGGCUCGGCAGGGUCGAGGUCGCAGGCUGGAGGUCCCCUGAUAGCUGAGGGGCUCGAGGGUGCCUCCAGUCUCCCACCCGAAGUCCCCCACCCGCUCUCCCGCGCCACCCCACUGGAACGUCGCCCCCUCACACAGGAAGCGAUGUGUCUGCCCAGAGGGGUCUCAGGACCUGUCCUUGCUCCUCCAAGGCCCACCUGGCCUGUGGCGCCCCUCGGGCCUGCGCUGCGUUCUCCUUUCGCCUCCCGGGCCUCUCCGCUGCCCCUCUCACCUGCCACAACUGCUUCCCUCGGUUCCCGCCCGGGGCCCGUGUCCUAGACCCGAAAUGCGCGCCCCACUCCUGGAGCCUCCAGUAUGUGAGAGGCACCUUUCCGUGGGGUCAGGGGCGCGGACUCGGAAGCCGGCCCAGCUUUGCCUGCGGGCUCCAAUCAUGCCCAGCUGGAGUCCUUCACCCCAGCCACAGCGGGCCUUCGCCUGUACUUCGGGGACGACAGGAUGGCCACCCUUCUCCCAAAGGUUUGCGGAUUUUGCUCCAUGCGAGAGAAGGUCUGCUUGUGCCACCUGCCUGCGCCACCAGCCCGCAGCUUUUCACAUGCUGCUGCGUUACAGGGCCCUCUGUGACCCUUCUCUAGGCCGAGAGGUACUUCGUCUCCGUUCCUGAGACACCAGAAUUUAUUCUUGGUUUGUCAAGCCACAUUUGUAGGAAUGUUGCCAAGUUGCCGCAGGCUGAGGUCUGGGACUUGCUCCUUUGGCGAACUGAGAAGUAAGGAUGGCAUUUUAGCAUUAAUGGAAACCAGAAGCACUCUUAGACCUGGGUAAGAGGGGCCCAAGAAUUAGCAAACAGUUGGAUUUCAUUGCUAGUAGACAUAACCUCCACGGUGCUUAGAGCAACGGCAUUUGAUUUGUUGGAUCACUUCAAAGACGACAUACUGGGUUGUUUUUGUUUCUGGAGGUGUCUAAGAUGGAACAUCUUGAAGCAUUUGGAAUUUGACCUGUGGUUAGUCUCAGAUACAAUGAUGGUGAAGACUGAAAGAAAAUCUGAAAAUCAGAAGGAUUGAAUGCAGAUGAGCAUCUAGAGCUAAAAUAUUGCUAAUGGCAGCAAAAGGGGGUACUGUGGAAGAAUAGCUCCUUAUGCACCCCACUUCACUGAAUGUCAUCCUGUUUGUCCCCUUCUUCGUUUCUGCCAGUAACAUAGAAGUCUAAAGCCUUGCAUUUUGUUUUUAAUGCUAACUAACGAAAUUCCAGAAGCAGGCCUUAAAAAUGCAAAGUCUUCGUAAUUAACAAAAGAGUUUAGAUAGAUGAAGGGCAUAUAUCCCCUUCUCUGUAGCUACAGCAACGGAGCUUUCUUUGCAUGUAAAACUUGUUCAACUACUCUGAAUUAAUAAAGGGCUAACUUGAGAGCAAAACCGGGAAUAUCCAUCUUGUUCUGUGCAACAGGGACACUUGGGAGGGUGUUCAUGACUGUAGCCAAUUAUUCUGGAAUAGGCCUACCCCAUCCCUGGAAGUAUAAUGAGAACAAGAAUCUUAGACUCCUUUAGGCUGGGCAUGGUGGCUCAUGCCUAUAAUCCCAGCAUCUGAGGCCAGGAGUUCAAGACCAGCCUGGCCAACAUGGUG
Long non-coding RNA from Sapajus apella (tufted capuchin), 1736 nucleotides. RefSeq lists it as uncharacterized. The transcript is spliced from 3 exons. The record is from RefSeq and is a predicted model, not a curated record. NCBI's taxonomy places the organism in Eukaryota, Metazoa, Chordata, Mammalia, Primates, Cebidae.